This 172-nucleotide ribosomal RNA is filed under the name uncultured bacterium. RNAcentral's name for it is "partial 16S ribosomal RNA". It matches the Rfam family "Bacterial small subunit ribosomal RNA", at positions 1322 to 1500 of the family's 1533-position model. The record is from RNAcentral.
GAAGUUGGAUUCGCUAGUAAUCGCGCAUCAGCCAUGGCGCGGUGAAUACGUUCCCGGGCCCUUGUACACACCGCCCGUCAAGCCAUGGGAGCCGGGGGCGCCUGAAGUCCGGGACCGCGAGGACCGGCCUAGGGCGAAACUGGUAACUGGGGCUAAGUCGUAACAAGGUAUC